UGCCUUCAAGGAGAUUACUACCUAGCAGGGGAGACAGAGUAACUGAGGUAGGAAGAAGCAAUGGGGAAAAAAGGUAUGUAUAUUUGGUAUGUAUGGGGACUACAGGGAAACUUUGAAAAAAGAUUCCAUUUCUGAAUCACAGGAGUCCUACUCUCCUGGGCUUCCGGUGGGUGAAACGAUGGCGCCAAUCCACAGAAUGACAUCACUAGCCUUCUUAUUAUCCCUCGAGAUGCUGCUCUUUCAGUAGCUCCCUGUCCUUGCCCUUGCAGAUGCCUGCAUUCCCUGAGCUCUCUGACACUGUGUGGAAUCCGAAAGGAAACAGGGAAUGAGUCAACUGCGUCGCUGCUCUUCGCAGUUGGCUGUUAAGGGGGAAAGAGUUGCCCCUCCUGGCAUUCCAUUAGUCAAGCGUAGAGGUCGUCUGGGGGCCCGCCAAAUCUCGGGAAAGUCACCGACCAACCUAUAAAGCCACACUGCAGGGAGAGUGGAUUGGGAGUCACCGAGGAGGAGGAGGGGGUUCGGGGAAGGAGAGCGAGUGAGAAUGAGCGAACGGCAACUGAACAGGUGGUUGGAGUCUGAUGGUUGGUUUGUAGGUUGCCUGACAGCAAAGAGGCUGUCGGCACAGAUCAAAGCAAAAUAGAACCUUAAAGACUUCAUCCUCUUAAGGUAAUAGUGUAGUUUUGAUGUCAAUGGUAAUGUGGCGCUAAUAUAUUCAUAGCGAUAUAUUAUAAUAAAAGGAGGUAGACCAGCAGACAGAGACAGGGUCAGGGGCUCCGAGUACUGUGACGGACUCAGUACCGGGACUUUGUUUUGGGGGGCCGGCUCCUGCAACUUGAGGUUGAGCUUGGGGCAGCACCGGCGCUGUCGGAGCCGCUCAGGGAGCUGGAUGCGCCACCCGUGGUGGGUCUACGUCUCCGGGCCUGGCCGGGGGCGGUCGGCACCGCGGAUCCUCGUCUGGGUCUCCUCCUCUCCACCGGCAUGUCGGCGUGACCCCGUCUCUCUGCCUGUCCUGGGAUCGCCGUGCUCGUUACCUGAGCCUUCGGGAGCAUCCCCAAGGGGCCACGACAGAGGAACCGACAGAGGAAAACUGCCAGGGAAAUGAAGUGGAUGGAUACUCCCAGCCUGUUACGGUGACGUAGAAGGCAAGACGACUCCGUGACUUCCCCGUGGCUUGCUUACUUGUGAGAUCUGGUCCACGGCUUAUCAGAGGUACGUUGGCGCCAUCUUAUCUCUACUGAUCCCAGCCUCGCUUCUGGAUUUUAUAACUUCUGGCCGGAAUUUGUCUCUCUGUCCCUCCCUCCCGUCAAAGAUCCAGAAAAGACAUUAUUGCUAACCAGAAGAUCUUCAGAUCGUGAGGCGAAGUGCUCAUCGUAGCCGUGCCAGCAAGGAUUUCGAGAGCAAUGAAAAACCACAGUGUGAUCACCAGCGAAAGCUCACUAAAUAGAAAGAGGUUACUCCUGGCUCUUCAGAGGAGAAAGCAAUCUGGCUGUGCUAUGGUGCCUUCGUCAUGAGAUUUCGCCAAAAUGACUCUAUGGAUGAGAAGGGUGUCAGUCUGGCCGUCGUAGUUCGGAAGACAGGAACCAUUUUCUCACCCUGGACCUCAUUACUCGGAAGCCUCGGACGGAGCGGAUUGCAGAAGGGCUAGCCAUCAUUACUAGGCUCAUUUUUGGACAGGCGAUAAGGGAGACCUCACCUCGUCAUGGCACAACAGCCUAGGACCCAACUGGCUUUCUGAAAUCUGCAUCUAUUCAAAAUGUUUAAGGAAAAGUAUGGCUGCCCCUGACUCCUGGUGGAGAAAUCUGAGAAGGAUGGGCAGAGCUGGACUUACAGCUUGGCGCUCUGGGUCACCAUCGUGCUCCCUUUCUGGAAUUCAUUUAUUCAACUGUAUUUACUGAGUGCUUACUGUGCGCAAAGCACUGUACUGAGCGCUUGGGAGGGUACAAUACAAGAGACACUGUCCCUGCCUAUAAGGAACUCAAAGCCUAGAGAUGAAAAUCAACCUCUUCAUGGACCUGCAUUCUCUAAAGUAGGUUAUGCUGUUGGAUGGUGGAAAACUGCCCAGGCUUCAAAGGAAGGAUUAUUUCUGACAAGGAUUUCUUCUCACUCUGCGAAAAAGGUCACUUUACCUGGCUGCCUCCAUGCUCCGUAUCAAUGUACCGGGGCAUCGGAAACCUGGAAUGGAGAAUUUCCUGGGCAUCGUCAAUUGGAGCUUGCAGCAGGUGGCGGAAAUUUUCAUACUCUGGCAUGUCUUGGUAGCCUGACUUGCGCCACUGUGCUAUGGUCUAAUAAAAAAAGCAUUUAAAAGAGACA
Long non-coding RNA from Ornithorhynchus anatinus (platypus), 2307 nucleotides. RefSeq lists it as uncharacterized. The transcript is spliced from 8 exons. The record is from RefSeq and is a predicted model, not a curated record. Lineage: Eukaryota; Metazoa; Chordata; Mammalia; Monotremata; Ornithorhynchidae.